This 439-nucleotide ribosomal RNA is filed under the name uncultured bacterium. RNAcentral's name for it is "bacterial SSU rRNA". It matches the Rfam family "Bacterial small subunit ribosomal RNA", at positions 954 to 1392 of the family's 1533-position model. The record is from RNAcentral.
GCUAAACGCGAAGAACCUUACCCAGACUUGACAUGCACUAGACCGCUUCAGAAAUGAAGCUUCCCUUCGGGGCUGGUGCACAGGUGCUGCAUGGCUGUCGUCAGCUCGUGCCGUGAGGUGUUGGGUUAAGUCCCGCAACGAGCGCAACCCUUAUCAUUAGUUGCCAACACGUAAUGGUGGGAACUCUAAUGAGACUGCCUGGGUUAACCAGGAGGAAGGUGAGGAUGACGUCAAGUCCGCAUGGCCCUUAUGUCUGGGGCUACACACGUGCUACAAUGGUCGGUACAAAAGGCAGCGAAACCGUGAGGUGAAGCAAAUCCAAAAAAGCCGAUCUCAGUUCAGAUUGUAGUCUGCAACUCGACUACAUGAAGACGGAAUUGCUAGUAAUGGCGAGUCAGCAACAUCGCCGUGAAUACGUUCCCGGGUCUUGUACACACCG